RNAcentral lists this long non-coding RNA (220 nucleotides) under Musa acuminata (dwarf banana). RNAcentral's name for it is "long non-coding RNA (MACU_LNC000633)". Lineage: Eukaryota; Viridiplantae; Streptophyta; Magnoliopsida; Zingiberales; Musaceae. The record is from RNAcentral.
GUGCCUGUGGCUGCGACCCAAGGAGAGGCGGUAGAAAGUGCCAUACGGCAGUGGAAGAAGUCGCCGAGGAAGUGCCGCAGUAGUCGUAGGGAAGAAAGCGACCGCAGUAACGAGAUUGAUGUUGCCAGAGUUCAUUGCUUCAGAUUGAUGUUGCCGGAGGUGCGUCGAAGGGAUCGUUUGGCUUGCCCAAAUGCGAGCGGAGGCUUUUUGAUGAGAUCGG